RNAcentral lists this transfer RNA (86 nucleotides) under Candidatus Wolfebacteria bacterium CG03_land_8_20_14_0_80_36_15. Its description in RNAcentral is "tRNA-Leu". It matches the Rfam family "tRNA". From Rfam's summary of the family: Transfer RNA (tRNA) molecules are approximately 80 nucleotides in length. Their secondary structure includes four short double-helical elements and three loops (D, anti-codon, and T loops). Lineage: Bacteria; Candidatus Wolfeibacteriota. The record is from RNAcentral.
GCUGGGGUGGCGAAAAUGGUAACCGCACUAGCUUUAGGAGCUAGCACCGUUAAGGUUUGUGGGUUCGAAUCCCACCCCCAGCACUA